RNAcentral lists this ribosomal RNA (158 nucleotides) under Aspergillus flavipes. RNAcentral's name for it is "5.8S ribosomal RNA". It matches the Rfam family "5.8S ribosomal RNA". Rfam says of the family: 5.8S ribosomal RNA (5.8S rRNA) is a component of the large subunit of the eukaryotic ribosome. It is transcribed by RNA polymerase I as part of the 45S precursor that also contains 18S and 28S rRNA. Functionally, it is thought that 5.8S rRNA may be involved in ribosome translocation. Lineage: Eukaryota; Fungi; Ascomycota; Eurotiomycetes; Eurotiales; Aspergillaceae. The record is from RNAcentral. RNAcentral also lists the same sequence under 2 other names.
AAACUUUCAACAAUGGAUCUCUUGGUUCCGGCAUCGAUGAAGAACGCAGCGAAAUGCGAUAACUAAUGUGAAUUGCAGAAUUCAGUGAAUCAUCGAGUCUUUGAACGCACAUUGCGCCCCCUGGUAUUCCGGGGGGCAUGCCUGUCCGAGCGUCAUUA